AACAAUCAAUCCAUAGAAACGUCACUCCAGUUAGCGAACGUUGUUCGUUAGCUGGAGCUUGUUUACCUUUUAGUUAGCGGUCACCUACUGUAUAUACAAUUUGUGUUAAGAUUUCGUACCAGUGCGUGCAAUAAAACAAGCAAAUUAUGUUGACGCAUUUCGGCGGAGUGGUACGGAGCAAAGGCAUGCAAAGGAAAAAAGAGGAGCAAAGGCGACCGUUCAACCAGAUAUGCUUUUAGCUUUCCUCUGGACCAUUGAUGGAAAGGUUCGUUUGCUAAAUCGGAUGUAUGGAGUGCACGAUGUGUGUGCAGUUGCGAUGGAGCUCGAAAGCAAAUAUCAAGCGAUUGCUGCAACAUUGUCGACAAAAGAUACUGUACAGCAGCCUUCUAAGCUGUUAAAAGUCCAGCACAAAUCGAUGCUACAGCAUCGAAAAGAGAAAAAGCUCAGAAACUGUAUCAUUGCAUCGGAAACAAGGUAAGAUUAUAACGAUGACGAUGGCGACGACAACGACGAAUAAGUGCGUGAAUAAUCAGUCUAGCAAUGGUUUCAUCCGCACUUGCUUGAGGAUAAUGUAAAGGCAAUCA
Anopheles merus is the source of this 584-nucleotide long non-coding RNA. RefSeq lists it as uncharacterized. The transcript is spliced from 3 exons. NCBI's taxonomy places the organism in Eukaryota, Metazoa, Arthropoda, Insecta, Diptera, Culicidae. The record is from RefSeq and is a predicted model, not a curated record.